This 292-nucleotide ribosomal RNA is filed under the name uncultured bacterium. RNAcentral's name for it is "partial 16S ribosomal RNA". It matches the Rfam family "Bacterial small subunit ribosomal RNA", at positions 505 to 796 of the family's 1533-position model. The record is from RNAcentral.
GUGUCAGCCGCCGCGGUAAUACGGAGGAUCCGAGCGUUAUCCGGAUUUAUUGGGUUUAAAGGGUGCGUAGGUGGAUUGAUAAGUCAGUGGUGAAAGUUUGCAGCUUAACUGUAAAAUUGCCGUUGAAACUGUCGGUCUUGAGUGCAAAUGAGGUAGGCGGAAUGUGUUGUGUAGCGGUGAAAUGCUUAGAUAUAACACAGAACUCCGAUUGCGAAGGCAGCUUACUGGGAUGCAACUGACACUGAUGCACGAAAGCGUGGGUAUCAAACAGGAUUAGAAACCCUUGUAGUCC